Molecule: ribosomal RNA, 371 nt
Filed under: uncultured bacterium
Lineage: Bacteria
Description: bacterial SSU rRNA
Rfam family: Bacterial small subunit ribosomal RNA
Source: RNAcentral
ACGUAGGCAGCGAGCGUUGUUCGGAAUUACUGGGCGUAAAGAGUGUGUAGGCGGUGUUCCCAGUCUGUUGUGAAAUCUCCCGGCUUAACUGGGAGGGUGCAGCGGAAACUAGAAUGCUAGAGGGUGGGAGAGGUAAGCGGAAUUCCUGGUGUAGCGGUGAAAUGCGUAGAUAUCAGGAGGAACACCUGUGGUGUAGACAGCUUACUGGACCACUUCUGACGCUGAGACACGAAAGCGUGGGUAGCAAACAGGAUUAGAUACCCUGGUAGUCCACGCCCUAAACGAUGCAUACUUGGUGUGAGCGAUUCAUUUCGUUCGUGCCGGAGCUAACGCGUUAAGUAUGCCGCCUGGGGAGUACGGUCGCAAGGCUG